RNAcentral lists this ribosomal RNA (647 nucleotides) under Acinetobacter baumannii OIFC189. RNAcentral describes it as "bacterial SSU rRNA". It matches the Rfam family "Bacterial small subunit ribosomal RNA", at positions 835 to 1482 of the family's 1533-position model. Lineage: Bacteria; Pseudomonadati; Pseudomonadota; Gammaproteobacteria; Moraxellales; Moraxellaceae. The record is from RNAcentral.
AGGCUUUAGUGGCGCAGCUAACGCGAUAAGUAGACCGCCUGGGGAGUACGGUCGCAAGACUAAAACUCAAAUGAAUUGACGGGGGCCCGCACAAGCGGUGGAGCAUGUGGUUUAAUUCGAUGCAACGCGAAGAACCUUACCUGGCCUUGACAUACUAGAAACUUUCCAGAGAUGGAUUGGUGCCUUCGGGAAUCUAGAUACAGGUGCUGCAUGGCUGUCGUCAGCUCGUGUCGUGGGAUGUUGGGUUAAGUCCCGCAACGAGCGCAACCCUUUUCCUUACUUGCCAGCAUUUCGGAUGGGAACUUUAAGGAUACUGCCAGUGACAAACUGGAGGAAGGCGGGGACGACGUCAAGUCAUCAUGGCCCUUACGGCCAGGGCUACACACGUGCUACAAUGGUCGGUACAAAGGGUUGCUACACAGCGAUGUGAUGCUAAUCUCAAAAAGCCGAUCGUAGUCCGGAUUGGAGUCUGCAACUCGACUCCAUGAAGUCGGAAUCGCUAGUAAUCGCGGAUCAGAAUGCCGCGGUGAAUACGUUCCCGGGCCUUGUACACACCGCCCGUCACACCAUGGGAGUUUGUUGCACCAGAAGUAGCUAGCCUAACUGCAAAGAGGGCGGUUACCACGGUGUGGCCGAUGACUGAGGUG